RNAcentral lists this long non-coding RNA (860 nucleotides) under Sus scrofa (pig). RNAcentral's name for it is "lncRNA (ENSSSCG00070011927.1)". Lineage: Eukaryota; Metazoa; Chordata; Mammalia; Artiodactyla; Suidae. The record is from RNAcentral.
AUAUAAGUUAAUCCAGUUUAAAUUUAUAAAAUUGCAUGUGGCUGGCACCUGCCACAUCAGACAGCCAAGUGAAAUAUUAGAAUAUUUUGGUUUGUUCACUCAGGUAUGCCAAUUGCCUAAAAGAAUGUCUGGCAUACUGUAAACCCUCACAAACAGUUGUUGAGUAAGUGAAGGCAAGGGUCAUAUUCCAGUGUAUUUCAAUAAAGACAGUUGUCUCUUCCUUCUAACCUGAAUUUUUUUUUUUUUUUUUUUUUUUUUGUCUUUUUGUCUUUCACCUUUUUAGGGCCGCUCCCACGGCAUAUGGAGGUUCCCAGGCUAUGAGUCGAAUUGGAGCUGUAGCCACCGGCCUACGACACAGCCACAGCAACGGGGGAUCUGAUCUGCGUCUGUGACCUACACCACAGCUCAUGGCAAUGCCAGAUCCUUAACCCAUUGAGCGAGGCCAGGGAUUGAACCCGCAACCUCAUGAUUCCUAGUCAGAUUCGUUUCCUCUGCGCCAUGAUGGGAACGCCUAACCUGAAAAUUUCUAAUGCUUUUAUUGUAUUUAUUAUUUAGGUGUAUGUUCUGAACUAUUUUGAGAAUUUCAAAUAUUUAUUUGUUGCCUUCUUUCUUACCAUGUGAUGUACGACUGUACCGGUGUGUUUGUCUGUGCAUGAAAGUAUAAUGUGAAUUUAUACUUGUGUUUCAGAACUGAAAAGCUCAUCUCUACUAUUACUCACAAUCCUCUGUGCAAUUUGGGAUUAAACACAUUUAUUAACAGGCUGUCAUUCACAAUGUUUGUCAAGAAAGAAACAAACACCCUGGCUCCACAUUUCAGGACAUCCUUUGACACAAAGAAGACUUCCCUCACCAGGAACUGA